UUUGAGGUGACAGAUAUAUGUGCCAGAUUUAAAACCUGUUUAUGGUUAAACCCCUCAAAA
RNAcentral lists this transfer RNA (60 nucleotides) under Trinorchestia longiramus. RNAcentral describes it as "tRNA-Leu". The record is from RNAcentral. Lineage: Eukaryota; Metazoa; Arthropoda; Malacostraca; Amphipoda; Talitridae.